ACUCCUACGGGAGGCAGCAGUGAGGAAUAUUGGGCAAUGGGCGCAAGCCUGACCCAGCCAUGCCGCGUGAAGGAUGAAUGCCCUAUGGGUUGUAAACUUCUUUUGUACGGGACAAAACUCCUGGUCGUGACCGGGAUUGAUGGUACCGUGCGAAUAAGCAUCGGCUAACUCCGUGCCAGCAGCCGCGGUAAUACGGAGGAUGCGAGCGUUAUCCGGAUUCAUUGGGUUUAAAGGGUGCGUAGGCGGAAUAGCAAGUCAGCGGUGAAAGCCUGUGGCUUAACCAUAGAAUUGCCGUUGAUACUGUUGUUCUUGAGUGUAGUUGAAGUGGGCGGAAUGUGUAAUGUAGCGGUGAAAUGCUUAGAUAUUACACAGAACACCAAUUGCGAAGGCAGCUCACUAAGCUAAUACUGACGCUGAGGCACGAAAGCGUGGGGAGCAAACAGGAUUAGAUACCCUGGUAGUC
RNAcentral lists this ribosomal RNA (463 nucleotides) under uncultured bacterium. RNAcentral's name for it is "bacterial SSU rRNA". It matches the Rfam family "Bacterial small subunit ribosomal RNA", at positions 335 to 795 of the family's 1533-position model. The record is from RNAcentral.